GACGAACGCUGGCGGCGUGCUUAACACAUGCAGGUCGAACGCUGAAGCUCAGCUUGCUGGGUGGAUGAGUGGCGAACGGGUGAGUAACACGUGAGUAACCUGCCCUCUUCUUUGGGAUAACGCCCGGAAACGGGUGCUAAUACUGGAUAUUCACUGAUUCUCGCAUGGGGGUUGGUGGAAAGGUUUUUUCUGGUGGGGGAUGGGCUCGCGGCCUAUCAGCUUGUUGGUGGGGUGAUGGCCUACCAAGGCUUUGACGGGUAGCCGGCCUGAGAGGGUGACCGGUCACAUUGGGACUGAGAUACGGCCCAGACUCCUACGGGAGGCAGCAGUGGGGAAUAUUGCACAAUGGGCGAAAGCCUGAUGCAGCGACGCCGCGUGAGGGAUGGAGGCCUUCGGGUUGUAAACCUCUUUCGCUCAUGGUCAAGCCGCAGCUUUGGGUUGUGGUGAGGGUAGUGGGUAAAGAAGCGCCGGCUAACUACGUG
Molecule: ribosomal RNA, 482 nt
Filed under: uncultured bacterium
Lineage: Bacteria
Description: partial 16S ribosomal RNA
Rfam family: Bacterial small subunit ribosomal RNA
Source: RNAcentral